RNAcentral lists this ribosomal RNA (424 nucleotides) under uncultured prokaryote. RNAcentral describes it as "bacterial SSU rRNA". It matches the Rfam family "Bacterial small subunit ribosomal RNA", at positions 355 to 796 of the family's 1533-position model. The record is from RNAcentral.
UGGGGAAUCUUAGACAAUGGGGGAAACCCUGAUCUAGCCAUGCCGCGUGAGUGAUGAAGGCCCUAGGGUCGUAAAGCUCUUUCGCCAGGGAUGAUAAUGACAGUACCUGGUAAAGAAACCCCGGCUAACUCCGUGCCAGCAGCCGCGGUAAUACGGAGGGGGUUAGCGUUGUUCGGAAUUACUGGGCGUAAAGCGCACGUAGGCGGACUGUUAAGUCAGAGGUGAAAUCCCGGGGCUCAACCCCGGAACUGCCUUUGAUACUGAUCGUCUUGAGUCCGAGAGAGGUGAGUGGAAUUCCUAGUGUAGAGGUGAAAUUCGUAGAUAUUAGGAAGAACACCAGUGGCGAAGGCGGCUCACUGGCUCGGUACUGACGCUGAGGCGCGAAAGCGUGGGGAGCAAACAGGAUUAGAUACCCCGGUAGUCC